RNAcentral lists this unclassified non-coding RNA (283 nucleotides) under Coniochaeta sp. RNAcentral's name for it is "partial contains 5.8S ribosomal RNA, internal transcribed spacer 2, and large subunit ribosomal RNA". The stretch from base 1 to 71 matches the Rfam family "5.8S ribosomal RNA", at positions 84 to 154 of the family's 154-position model. The record is from RNAcentral. Lineage: Eukaryota; Fungi; Ascomycota; Sordariomycetes; Coniochaetales; Coniochaetaceae.
GUGAGUCAUCGAAUCUUUGAACGCACAUUGCGCCCGCUAGUACUCUAGCGGGCAUGCCUGUUCGAGCGUCAUUUCAAACCUCAAGCACCGCUUGGCGUUGGGGUUUUACAGCUGCUGUAAGCCCUGAAAGAUAGUGGCGGUCUCGCCGCGGCUCCGAGCGCAGUAGCACAUCUCGCUCGCGGCGCCGCGGCGGGCUUCCGGCCGUUAAAACCCCCCGGAGAACGGUUGACCUCGGAUCAGGUAGGAAUACCCGCUGAACUUAAGCAUAUCAAUAAGCGGAGGA